GCAGUGGUCGUUCAGUGGUAGAUUUCUCACCUCCCAUGUGGGAGACCUGGGUUCGAUUCCUGGCCAAUGCA
This 71-nucleotide transfer RNA is filed under the name Loxodonta africana (African savanna elephant). It matches the Rfam family "tRNA". From Rfam's summary of the family: Transfer RNA (tRNA) molecules are approximately 80 nucleotides in length. Their secondary structure includes four short double-helical elements and three loops (D, anti-codon, and T loops). Further hydrogen bonds mediate the characteristic L-shaped molecular structure. tRNAs have two regions of fundamental functional importance: the anti-codon, which is responsible for specific mRNA codon recognition, and the 3' end, to which the tRNAs corresponding amino acid is attached (by aminoacyl-tRNA synthetases). tRNAs cope with the degeneracy of the genetic code in two manners: having more than one tRNA (with a specific anti-codon) for a particular amino acid; and 'wobble' base-pairing, i.e. permitting non-standard base-pairing at the 3rd anti-codon position. Lineage: Eukaryota; Metazoa; Chordata; Mammalia; Proboscidea; Elephantidae. The record is from Rfam by way of RNAcentral.